RNAcentral lists this ribosomal RNA (434 nucleotides) under uncultured Lachnospiraceae bacterium. Its description in RNAcentral is "bacterial SSU rRNA". It matches the Rfam family "Bacterial small subunit ribosomal RNA", at positions 341 to 792 of the family's 1533-position model. The record is from RNAcentral. Lineage: Bacteria; Bacillati; Bacillota; Clostridia; Lachnospirales; Lachnospiraceae.
ACGGAAGGCAGCAGUGGGGGAUAUUGCACAAUGGGGGAAACCCUGAUGCAGCGACGCCGCGUGAGUGAAGAAGUAUUUCGGUAUGUAAAGCUCUAUCAGCAGGAAAGAUAAUGACGGUACCUGACUAAGAAGCACCGGCUAAAUACGUGCCAGCAGCCGCGGUAAUACGUAUGGUGCAAGCGUUAUCCGGAUUUACUGGGUGUAAAGGGAGCGCAGACGGCAUGGCAAGCCAGAUGUGAAAUGCGGGGGCUCAGCUCCUGAACUGCAUUUGGGACUGUCAAGCUAGAGUAUCGGAGAGGUAAGUGGAAUUCCUAGUGUAGCGGUGAAAUGCGUAGAUAUUAGGAGGAACACCAGUGGCGAAGGCGGCUUACUGGACGAUAACUGACGUUGAGGCUCGAAAGCGUGGGGAGCAAACAGGAUUAGAUACCCUGGUA